GCUCAGUACUCCACUGGAAAUGAGUACUCCACUGGAAAUGAAGAGGUCCCUGGUUCGAUACCAGGACCAGGCA
This 73-nucleotide transfer RNA is filed under the name Ixodes scapularis (black-legged tick). Its description in RNAcentral is "tRNA-Ser". The record is from RNAcentral. Lineage: Eukaryota; Metazoa; Arthropoda; Arachnida; Ixodida; Ixodidae.